GAUGAACGCUGGCGGCGUGCCUAAUACAUGCAAGUCGAACGAGUUCUCGUUGAUGAUCGGUGCUUGCACCGAGAUUCAACAUGGAACGAGUGGCGGACGGGUGAGUAACACGUGGGUAACCUGCCCUUAAGUGGGGGAUAACAUUUGGAAACAGAUGCUAAUACCGCAUAGAUCCAAGAACCGCAUGGUUCUUGGCUGAAAGAUGGCGUAAGCUAUCGCUUUUGGAUGGACCCGCGGCGUAUUAGCUAGUUGGUGAGGUAAUGGCUCACCAAGGCGAUGAUACGUAGCCGAACUGAGAGGUUGAUCGGCCACAUUGGGACUGAGACACGGCCCAAACUCCUACGGGAGGCAGCAGUAGGGAAUCUUCCACAAUGGACGCAAGUCUGAUGGAGCAACGCCGCGUGAGUGAAGAAGGCUUUCGGGUCGUAAAACUCUGUUGUUGGAGAAGAAUGGUCGGCAGAGUAACUGUUGUCGGCGUGACGGUAUCCAACCAGAAAGCCACGGCUAACUACGUGCCAGCAGCCGCGGUAAUACGUAGGUGGCAAGCGUUAUCCGGAUUUAUUGGGCGUAAAGCGAGCGCAGGCGGUUUUUUAAGUCUGAUGUGAAAGCCCUCGGCUUAACCGAGGAAGCGCAUCGGAAACUGGGAAACUUGAGUGCAGAAGAGGACAGUGGAACUCCAUGUGUAGCGGUGAAAUGCGUAGAUAUAUGGAAGAACACCAGUGGCGAAGGCGGCUGUCUGGUCUGUAACUGACGCUGAGGCUCGAAAGCAUGGGUAGCGAACAGGAUUAGAUACCCUGGUAGUCCAUGCCGUAAACGAUGAAUGCUAGGUGUUGGAGGGUUUCCGCCCUUCAGUGCCGCAGCUAACGCAUUAAGCAUUCCGCCUGGGGAGUACGACCGCAAGGUUGAAACUCAAAGGAAUUGACGGGGGCCCGCACAAGCGGUGGAGCAUGUGGUUUAAUUCGAAGCAACGCGAAGAACCUUACCAGGUCUUGACAUCUUUUGAUCACCUGAGAGAUCAGGUUUCCCCUUCGGGGGCAAAAUGACAGGUGGUGCAUGGUUGUCCUCAGCUCGUGUCGUGAGAUGUUGGGUUAAGUCCCGCAACGAGCGCAACCCUUAUGACUAGUUGCCAGCAUUUAGUUGGGCACUCUAGUAAGACUGCCGGUGACAAACCGGAGGAAGGUGGGGAUGACGUCAAAUCAUCAUGCCCCUUAUGACCUGGGCUACACACGUGCUACAAUGGAUGGUACAACGAGUUGCGAGACCGCGAGGUCAAGCUAAUCUCUUAAAGCCAUUCUCAGUUCGGACUGUAGGCUGCAACUCGCCUACACGAAGUCGGAAUCGCUAGUAAUCGCGGAUCAGCACGCCGCGGUGAAUACGUUCCCGGGCCUUGUACACACCGCCCGUCACACCAUGAGAGUUUGUAACACCCGAAGCCGGUGGCGUAACCCUUUUAGGGAGCGAGCCGUCUAAGGUGGGACAAAUGAUUAGGGUG
RNAcentral lists this ribosomal RNA (1492 nucleotides) under Lacticaseibacillus paracasei. Its description in RNAcentral is "bacterial SSU rRNA". It matches the Rfam family "Bacterial small subunit ribosomal RNA". Lineage: Bacteria; Bacillati; Bacillota; Bacilli; Lactobacillales; Lactobacillaceae. The record is from RNAcentral.